This 253-nucleotide ribosomal RNA is filed under the name uncultured bacterium. RNAcentral describes it as "partial 16S ribosomal RNA". It matches the Rfam family "Bacterial small subunit ribosomal RNA", at positions 524 to 776 of the family's 1533-position model. The record is from RNAcentral.
UACGUAGGGGGCAAGCGUUGUCCGGAAUUACUGGGCGUAAAGCGCACGUAGGCGGCUUUCUAAGUCGGGGGUGAAAUCCUGGAGCUCAACUCCAGAACUGCCUUCGAUACUGCGGGUCUCGAGUCCGGGAGAGGUGAGUGGAAUUCCUAGUGUAGAGGUGAAAUUCGUAGAUAUUAGGAAGAACACCAGUGGCGAAGGCGGCUCACUGGCCCGGUACUGACGCUGAGGCGCGAAAGCGUGGGGAGCAAACAGG